This 21538-nucleotide long non-coding RNA is filed under the name Oryza sativa (Asian cultivated rice). RNAcentral's name for it is "long non-coding RNA (OSAT_LNC000549)". The stretch from base 4506 to 4686 matches the Rfam family "MIR812 microRNA precursor family". Lineage: Eukaryota; Viridiplantae; Streptophyta; Magnoliopsida; Poales; Poaceae. The record is from RNAcentral.
GGCAGCGACGAGGCGCACAAGUUCAUGGGGCGGCCGCGCCUGGACCGCGUCGACUUUGCCAGCAUGAUGAACCCCGGAUCGCGCCAGAUUUACCUCACCUUCCCGGCCGACAGCACGUUCCGCGAGGAGGACGUCUCCAACUACUUCAGGUAUAAUGCGAUGUUGCAAUGAUGUUUCUUCUUUCAUGGCGGACUCGGUAGAACGCGAUCUGAUUGGCAUGUUUGCUGUUCUUGGCAAUGCGCCCGCGCUGCAGCAUCUACGGUCCGGUGCACGACGUGCGCAUCCCGUACCAGCAGAAGCGCAUGUUCGGGUUCGUCACCUUCGUGUACCCUGAGACGGUGAAGCUGAUCUUGGCCAAGGGCAAUCCGCAUUUCAUCUGCGACGCCCGCGUGCUCGUCAAGCCUUACAAGGAGAAGGGCAAGGUCCCCGACAAGUACAGGCACGCUUGGAACACGCUCCGGCGUUUUAAUUCCGCAUCUUUAAACUGCAACUGUAUCCGUGCAUGCAGUUUUCCUGGUUGCUUAUAAUUUUUUUUCCACUCAUCUUGCAGGAAACAUCAAGGUGACUUCUCCGGCUGCACGACCCCCACUGGCCUGGACGGCAGAGACCCAUUCGAUCUGCAUCAGCUCGGUAAAAAUAUCCUAGCUCGCUCCGAUCGUUUGUGCUAGCUGUGGCAGCACAGCUGUAGUUCAUUGUUUCAUAGUGGAUACUGUUGCUGCAGCUGUAACGCAGCUGCAAGUCGCACAAACGAACAGCCUCAAUGCCUUCCUGCUUGAUCUUUGGUAUGGUGUAUUAGAGCGAUCUGCUGAUGUGAAGUUUGGUGCCUGGCAGGUGCGAGGAUGCUGCAGCACUCCAAUAGCACAAACGAGAUGAUGCUUCGUAGGAAACUGGAGGAGCAGCAGCAGGCUGCCGAGCUGCAACAGGCCAUCGAACUCCACAGUCGCCGUCUCAUGGACCUCCAGCUGCUCGACCUCAAGAAUAGAGCCGCAGCUGCUGUCACAACAGCAAUGGCGAUGACAAUUCCCACCGCCAAUGCCUUCGGUUCCAGUCAGCCUCUUGCCACCACCAUGGUCGAGUCACCGCCUGAUUCUGGUAUGUGUUACUUCGGUCGGUCUGCCUGUCAAGCAUUGUAAGACGAGUUCAUCCACUCAUUCGACACUACUGAUCCUUGUAAUUUCUUGGUCGUUUAUAGGCGAGCAGCUCAAGGGAACAGGUUACUUCACAGAAGAGAGGAAAAUGGUCAACGGAGGAGGUGAUAAGGAAGAAUCUGCUGGUGAGGCGAGCCUGAAUGCUGAUAGCGACCAAAGGUGGAUCUUACUAAACUACACUAGACAGACCAUCAUCAUCAUUCUGUUUGCUUAUUAUUCUUGCAGUUAGCUUUCAUGAUUUGAUGCACAUAGAAGCUGAAAAGGUUGGGCUGCUUCAGUGGCUCAUGGCUUUCAUUUGAUAUGGAUAUUCUGCAGCUUGGAGCACAAUUUGCCGGACAGCCCGUUUGCUUCGCCGACUAAGUCCUCUGUCUCAGCUCACCAAAGUUUCACCACCACUGAUACCGGUGUCGUCGCGACAAGUAGCUGCAGUGCAUCUCAUGUAGGCAUCAGCGCGGGCACUAAUGCUGGAGGUGGAAUCAACCAUCUGCGGCCCUCUACUUUGGAUAUACCUUCGCCAAGAGACUUCUUCUCGGUUUCCAGGUAUGGCAUGUACUGUGAUUAUAUUGAUGGAUCCGAUAUCUUGUGAUCGAUGCUUGAAAUGAUUUGGUGAACGCAAUAAGCAGGCUGGCCUCUGAUCACGGAGCGAUUGGGAUGUAAAGUUCUCUGCAAUGGAUGAGUGAAUCCCCCAGCCUAAUCAUAGUAAGCACUUAAUCCUUCCUUUAUUCCCACUAUGCUUCCAAAAUAAUAAGCCUUUCACCUUCUGAUUUUGCUGUCUUGUUUUCUUUCCGCUCCUUUUUUCUAUUUGUCUGUGACAGGAACACAAGAAGCAAAAGAAAAGCGAUAGUGGAAUAUAGGAGAAAAGGAGUGAAGUGUCAGCAUAGUGUUAGCUCCCUUGUUUAUUUCUUUUUGGUUGCCCUUUUUAGUGGGUAGCUCUAUUAAAACCACAAGUGAAGAUGCCAUUAGCCUUUGACUAGGAAAAAAAGCCAGUAGAUGCAGACAUGCAGUGUUGUGAGAUACUUAAUAUAUAUAAGCAAUCCAGUGUUACCCCCUUAUAAUAUUAGAUAUACUAGUAGUACUCAAUUACAACUGCCAUCAACAACAUAUAUAGUUGAUGUUUACCCAGUUGUUCAUCUAAGUUGUAGGCACUAACUGUGAAGUAACUAGUAAACAAGGCCAGUAACAGCUUCUAUAUAAGUCAGAUGUAACACAGGUGCAUCCUGCUAGCUUCAGGGGAUGCAAAUAUCAUGGACAAGUGCAAAUAAUCCCAGAAGAAGCCGGAGAAGGAUCACAUGGCCAUGGCAAGAAGUGGUCUGUGAAGUAUUUUUACCUGUGCUAGUACUAAAAUAUCUCUUUGGUUCUCCUACUUGGCCAUGUUGUUUGAUCAGGAGAGUGGCAAGAUCCCACUCACACCUCCUCGGUCAGCUGCCGACCAGCGUUAUUUGCGCCCCUCAGCAGAUGCAGGCCACUUGUACAAAGGACACCUUUUCUUUGUUCUUUGAACCUCCUUUUUAUUUUUUUUUUCAGAUCUUGCUGAAUGAAUCUGUAGAUUACUAUACCAUCUAUUACUGUAGCUGUCUAGUCAUUGCUCUAUAGAAAGAAAGUUAUCCCAACUAAUUUGUCAAUCUGUAAAAAUGAUAUUGGGCCCCAAGCCAAGGGUUGGAAUGAAUGGCGUCUUUUAAUUAAGCUGAUAGUUUCCCAUCCCUUCUGGUUACUGUGAUGCCAACUUGUGGCCCAAACUGGAGCGCCGCAAAAUCUUCCAAUCAAGCCGACAUGCAAAUACUCCAUGCAAUAAGCUAGGCAUGGACACCCUAUAACAAGGUAGGUAUGGUGAUCAACUUGAUGAUCGCUCGAUUUGUCUUGACUUUGCCUAUAAGUAAACGCUGCAACCUGCCUUGUCGUUUUGGGCGUGCACAUCGACGGAUACCUGAUGACCAUGAUGCCUCUCACUCAUCAAGUCUCUAUCGUCCGUUGCACCGCGAGAGAGAACAGCGUUACUACUAGUUGUACUACUACUACGUGCGGUAGAUCAAGGGUGGGCCGCAGGCCCAGAUACGCGAGGGGGUAAAAAGGGCGUUUGACAGAGAGCGAGAGGUGGUGGGCCCCAAGGUAAGGGCCCACAGUAGCAGGCCUCGUCACGCCCAUGUGGGCGACGCAGGCUGUGCGCCCCCAGGCUUUUAUCGAGUCCAACGGCGACAGUACGUGGCUUUGGCCCGUUCGCAGGCCAACCUGUCUGCGUGACUGUGUCUCUGUGCUACGGAGAGUGUACGGAAUGGUUGCAGCAGCAGCCACGAUGUAGCGCAAUUCCUCUUGUCGUAGACCUGCUAAACUAGCCGUGCUAGUACUUUGCUACUCCUACGUAGCUGUAGAGUGUAGGAGUACAGUUUCUCUUUUCCUUGUUUGAGAAAACGCUGUACUAGCUUCGUGAGCAAAAGGGCGCACAAGUCACAACAGUGCAUGCUCUUGAUUUCUAAAACAAUGAAAUAGAACUGCACGGUUGUUUUCGUUACUAGUAGUAGGCUCACACAAUCUCUCGCAUGCACAUGUAAUCCAAGGUUUGGUGCAAUCGGUAACGACGUCACCUAUACGGAGUCAAACCUGAAACCCCAAAGGACCAACACUUGAACAGAGACGCACCGCCCGGCAACAAUAACCUACCGACCUACGGAAUCAUGGACGCCGGCCGGCCACCCCACCAGUCCACCACACCCCACCCCCUUGUUCAUCCAUCAGGCAAUGCAUGCCGCCUACAGCGGACGCCGGGCCGGACGCGCGCACUGUGCAGCUUUUGUUACGUCCUUCCCUUCCCCCUUUGUUUUGUUGUGGCUGUGCGCGCGCCGCGCCCAGCGGAUGCAUGUGCGCCCCCGCCACCGCGCCCCGUUUGGGCCCCGUAGAUUGCCUCCGCGGCAGCGGAACGCUUCAAUGCGCGCCCCCUGCGCCUGCGGAUGUGCGCUGCCUGCGCGGCUGCGCCCCCGCUUGCCUCUCUGUUCAUGUUCAGUCCGUCAAGCCGACGCGCCGCCGGAGGCUUGGAGGCUGAGAGCGUGAGUUUUCUGUGGUGCGCGCGGGUGUGGCGUGAAAGUACAACGCAGACGCAGCCGUCUCGCAAAGUCGUAGUCGGAACUCGGAACCGAUCGGGCUAGCGCUACGUCCGGGCGGCUACACAUGCAUGAGAUACAUUAGACAUUGUGUUAGGGCAAGAUCAUUGUUUAAGAUGUAGUGCAACCUUAAGAGUGAGCUCAUAAAUAAUAAACUAUUAUGGAUUAUUUUAUAAGUACAAUCAAUAUUUUAAGGCUAUCUUUUUCAUACAUUGUGGGUGUCCUUAAGACACAUAGUACAAUAUGUACUACUACCCCGUCCCAAAAUAAGUGCAGCCGUAGAUAUCCGUGCCUAACGAUUGACCAUUCAUCUUAUUUAAAAAAAUUGUGAAAAUAUUUAGUCACAUAUAAAGUACUAUUUAUGUUUUAUCAUCUAAUAGCAAUAAAAAUACUAAUCAUAAAAAAUUUCAAAUAAAACGAACGGUUAAACGUUGAACGUGAAUAGUACAAAACUACUUAUUUUGGGACGGAGUGAGUACUACAUAUCUCGACGAGGGGUCCACCGGUUGGGGUUGUUUGGCGAGCGCUAUCGCUAUCAUAGCAAUUUGAUCAACUUCAAUUUCGGUGUGGGGAUGAAUAAUGACGUGUGUGUAGGGCUCUUUAGAAUGGAGGAAAUUUGUAGAAAAUUAGAGAUAUCUAGUGCGAAGGAACAAAACUUUCUAUAAGAGGUCUCAUUAGAUUCGUAGGAUAGAAGAAACUUUAGUAUGAUUUUCAAAUCCUACAAGAAUAAAAUAAAUACAGGAUAAUAUAAUAGGAGCGCAAUAGGAAAAACAAAGGAAAGUUUACAAACAGGUCGCACCUCUUGGUUGGUAUACAAAUUUUUCUUCCUUUUUAUGAAUUAGAGGGAUAUGUAGGAAAAAAUCAACAACAAUCUAAAUCCUACGAAAAUUCUUUACCCAUCCUAUGAAUUAAAGGAGCUCUUACACUGCUGGAGAAAGUGUCUUCACUCACGGUUCGUAAGCCCCUUAGUCCCGUUUAUGUAACUGGGACCUUGAAUCCGAGACUAAAGAUGGGUAUCUUUAGUUCCGGUUCGUGUUACGAACCACGACUAAGGAUCGGAACGCCACGUGGCCAAAGUUCUUCUCAUCUUCAGUUUUUUUACUACUUAUAUUGAUUUCAAACUGAUCUCUACAACAAAAUCAUUCCCAUUCACAAAACAUCACAAAAUCAUCUACAAAUUCACAGAUCGAAUGAAAAUACUCAAAUUGACAUCAUAAAUUCAUAGAUCUACAGUAUGAACAAAUUCACAAAUUUACAUCACAGUCCGCCACUGCUCUCCGCACAGCCCGCCGCCACCCCGCGCGGGCAGGCCGCUGACCGGCGCUAGCACGCUGCCCCUGGCGUGGGCCUCGGCCGCCGCCGCCUGGCGCCACGCUGGCCUCGGCCACCGCCCGCUGAGGAUGUUGGAAAAAAAGAGAGGAUGAGGAUGAGAGAGAGAGAGAGAGGAAAUGCAGAUACAGAUAUGAGGAGGAGUUUGUUUGGGGGGGGGGAGGAGAUGAGAAUAAGUGCUUGUUGUUAUCAACCGGGAAUAAAGAUAGUGGGACGUCUGACCUAUUUUGAACCGGGACUAAAGAUCGUAAAAUUAAACCGGGACUAAAUAUAUUUUUUAGUCCCGGUUCCUACUUGAACCGGGACUAAUGUGGAUUUUGCUUGACCCAUCGAAGAUCAGUUUUUCAGUAGUGUUAGAUGGUGAAAUUGUUCAGAGUAAUAUUACAGGAUAGUAAAAAAUCUUCCAAAUUUUAGAGGAAUUCUAAUAUGUGAUCUCACCUCGUGUUAACAGAAUUUAUUUGAGAAGCCCAAGCACUUUCUGUGUAUCUCUUCUUUCUAUCUAGUAAAUCAAUUAUAUAAAUAUUAAAUUUCAUGUGUUUUUCCUGUAAUUAUUAUGUAGAAUUAUUGUGGUUUUAGUUCCUGAUGUAUUCAUCAAGUCACGACACUUAAUACUUUGUUUUUGUUAUUUCUAUAUUUUUCGAUUCAUGCGUUCCAAAGAAAUCAUAAGUUGUGUGAAGUAUUCGCGAGGCAGGAUUUUGAGCGAAAUGAAAGGAAAACGAUAGGGGAGGAUAGUGUCCACUAAUCUUUUAGGAAAUGUACCGCACGGUUUACACAAAGGUUUGAAAUGUGAAUUUUAAAGUUUGAAUAUUUGUUUUGUAGCCGACUCUCGCUUGGUUGAACAUUUCUUAUAUAUAGGUGACUUGUACUUCUAGUAUUACAUGAUUAUAAUGAGAGAGAGGUGAACAUAUAAAUGGUUAACUCAAGAUUUUUUUUAUUUUCUUUUUUUUUUCACUAUCCCUCAAGUCCUUUAUGGGAUGAAGGGAAUACUCCUUCUGUUCCAAAAUAAUACGAGCUAGGAUACGACGAGACCCAUCAUAAUACAAUAAAUCUGCACAUAACUUUAUCCAUAUUAGAAUCAUAUCACAUCCUAGAUUAGCUAGAUUCGUUAUACUAUGAUGGAUCUCAUAUCAUUCUAGAUUAAAUUAUUUUGAGACGGAGAAAGUAUAUACUUCAUGUUUACGUGGAUUUCAGUGCCCUUACAAUAUUUCAAUGAAGUAUAGAAAAUGCGGUAGUGCGAAUAUAGCGUGUUUCGAUUAUGUGCUUACUAAAAAAACAAAUGACCUCGGCGCCAACCAAAUUCAACAGAUCCAAAAGCAGUACCCUCCGGUCAGUCAGUCAGUAAACGAAAUAGGCCUGCUUCCUGAAGACCAAACUGCCAAAGUCGGCCGAAACUUGCCCAUAAGUUUGACCUGUUUCCACCGACUUGUGUGAGCCGUAGUGUUCUGACACGGUCCAAAAGUUACCAAACAUGAUUAAAUUGUCAAUUUCCUUAUCCACAACAAAUUAAGCAGAGAGAACAUUAUUAAAAAAAUUAAUCAGAGAGAAAAAUGUUUGGAAAACUUGCUGCUCGUAUCCAAACAGCCCGGUGAAUUUAUCCACCAACCUGGCCUCUGGAGUAGCCUCGCCGCUUCCGAGGCAGGAUUCCAGAACCGGACGUGGGUGACCGUGCGCUGCGUGUUUGUUUCCGCGCAGCCACGGCGGACGCGCCGGAUUCCCUUCCCCUCCCCUGCACGGUGAUGGUUCCUUUUAUAUUUUCCUCGAGCCGCGGCCGGUUUCUUCGUGCGCCUCCUGCCUCCCCCUCCUUGUGUUGUUUUAGUUUUGCACACGACACGGAACGGAAGAACAAAGAUGCCACUGCUGCUCGUGCUCCUGUGUACUCCCUCCGUUCCAUUAAAAAAUCAAUCUAGUACUAAAUGUGACAUAUUCUAAAACUACGAAUUUGGAUAUAUAUGUGUUCAGAUUUAUAGUAGUAUCCGGUCCUAGAUUUUUUAUGAGAUGGAGGGAUUGGUGUGUAGUACUCCGCCUCGUGUGGCUCCCGCGUGUGUUCUCGUUGAUACGCUCUAAUCGCAUUGCUUGUGUUGGGUUCACCAGGGUUUCCUUACCAUCGGCGUGGGUUUACCGCACACUGCAUGGUUACUCGCAGUAAUUGUAUAAUAUUUUUUAAAAAUUUAAAUUACUUUUAAAAUUUAUUUCAGUUUAAUGAGCUUACCAUGGUUUAUCGUAACCGGCAGUAAACACGAUAACCACACGGUUAUCGUCAGUUUUGUAAACCAUGAGGUUGACACCCCCAACAAGCCUCACACGAACAUUUUCAUGUCCCGCGAGAUAGUCAAGGAUCAUAAUGGAUGUGCGCGUGCGUCGCAAGCGGGUAGUAUUGUGUAUCACAGCUCGCUUCAAGUUUUUUUCAAAAAAAAGAAACAUAAUACUAAUAAUACUAAUAAGAAGACAUGUCAACAUAUAUUUAUGAAGUCAUCAUGGGUGUGGCGAGGGUGUGGCGAGAUGUUGACUAAUACUAGAAGAACAAAUAGUCAUAUAUGUGAGUAAUAAUGUCAUGUCUAGAACUUGAAUCCACUAAGCUGAUUUUAUCAUAAGUAACAUAACCAAUCGAGCUAUACUCACUUCAUCAGCUAGCUUCAAGUUAACGCUCCCUCCUUUCCAUGAUAACUAUUACUAUCUUUUACCUCACUCAUCGUCCCAAAAAACUUUGAAGGCAAUGCAUUGUGAUUCGAUAAAAUUAGGUGAAAUAUGUUAACACUUGAAAAAAAUCAAGGACACAUAUAUUUAAUUUAGGCUUGAUAGAGUUAAGGAUAAAAUCAAGGAGUAAUUUGAUAAAGCAAAGGAUGUUUUAGUCUUUUAAACUUUGUAGGCUCCGUUCGACUAAGUUGUUUGAAAAAAAAUUGAGCGGCAUGCAAAACGAAGCAAACCAUUAGGGCUAGUACUCCAUAUUACUAAUUAUUAAAACUUGGAAAAUGAUUCAUUUGUUUUUUUUAAGAAACUUCAAUGUAUAUAUAUAUUUUUUUAAAAAAUAUAUCGUUUAGUAGUUCGGGAAAUGUGCUAACAAAAAAUGAUAAAGUUGCUUACCCCUACAGCGAAAUCAAAUGGAGCGUAAAAAUGAAGUUAUUUUUGGAACAGAGCUAGUAUCUCCGCUUAAUAAUAAUAAUAAUAAUAAUAAUAAUAAUAAUAAUAAUAAUAAUAAUAAUAAUAAUAAUAAUAAUAAUAAUAAUAAUAAUAAUAAUAAUAAUAAUAAUAAUAAUAAUAAUAAUGUUGACUUUUCACCUAUACAAGCGAUUAUUGUUUAUAGUCAGUUUAGAAGAGGUAGCAGCACUUACCAAUACGUCUAUAAGAAAAUGUCUAGUAAAAACCCGUAAAAAUUAUACAUAAAAGUUCUCUAAAUUUAUGAAAAAAAUUACAUAUAAGCAUAAAAUAUAUUCAUACCAAAUUACAAAUCUGAACUCAACUUCAUUUGAGAGGAAAAAAGAGACAAAGAUUCAGGUGAAUAGCGUUUAAUUACUAUUCACCCGAAAUUUAUCAUUUUUUACUCGCAAAUAAAGUUGGUUUUCAACUUAACAUUUAGUGAAUAUGUAUUUCAUUUUUAUAACUAUCUCUAGAAAUUUUCAUAAAUUUAUAAAACUUUUAGCUCUGGCUUUCAUGAAUUUUCACUUAUUUGAUUUUCACUAGAUAUUGUCGACGUUUGAGGUUACGACUAUGGUAUUUGCAUGGUAUGGAGAUCGUUGGUACCAGGGUAUAUGCGAGAUUGUGGUAAAAGAGAUGGAGACAAGGAUUUUUAUACAAGUUCGGGCCCCUUAUCUGAUAGGUAAUAGCUCUACUCCUAUUGGCUGAAGCCGGUAUUGCUCUUUAUUCUUUUGAAUGACACAAGUACAAUAUUUGGGAUAACCUAUCUAAUCGUCGUUGACGUGGCGGCAUGAACACCAACACGUAGUCGACGAGAGGGUAGUCUUACUACUCGAAUAUGAACUCAUUGAGAUCAGAAAUAGCCCUAGAUCCUUGUUAUCGGCCUCCGCAAGCAACUGAUUGGGUUUGUCUAGGCUAAUAUCUAAUGUCGAUGUCUAACUUGUCUCGGUUUGUGUGUCGAUCUGUGUCUUCUGUCCCUCUCCUCCUAGGGGGGCUUGUAUUUAUACCCAUAGAUGUCUCCUUAUCAAAGUAAAACUAGGGAAACCAAUAUGGAUACAAUCCGAGUAGUCCUUGUCGUUUCCAUAUAGAACUCUACUUGUCCUACCUUAUCUGAAACUCUUUCUAUAUACGAGGUAUGAUUCCGUAUAAGACUUGGCAUAUGGUAGGCCUCAUCGAGCUUAAUUGAUUACUAUUGGGUAUGCGGUAUCCAUAACCAUGACAGAUAUGUCCCCUACUUCUAUAGUAAAGUUGUGGGGCUUUGUUGUCCCUUGAUUUGUGAGGGAAACAACAUUUGCUACACUCGGACACGCGAGGUAGAGUCGUUGUCGUCAAAUUUUAUAAGGAUGUCCCGGUGCUUUGGAGCUCCGUUCCUCCUCUACGAGAAAAAGAGACAGUUCUUCCAGAAUUGGAGAAUGGAGAGACGGAGUUGUGGGGAGGUGCCGAUGGGCAAAGUAUAUGAUGGUUACGAUGGUACACCAAUAGCGGACGCUGGAUUGUGCCACACCGUUGGUAACACUCAAAAGCACAAUGUUCUUGACAUAGGGUUCUCAAACUUGGAGCUCUUGGUUAAAAAAAAUAUUCUGAGAUCAUUCUAAACUUACAUUUAGUCCUUAUGGAGAGUGUACUACAUAUACAUGUUCCCGUGAUAGGGAUUAGGCCCUUUACAGCGCGCCGCUUUGGCUCGCCACGUUGGAGCCGUGGCUCUAACUCAACCAUGUCUCGUCGUGUCUCCAUGGAGACUCCCGAUGCCUUACGGAGGGCAUCAGUGUCCCAAUAGGACUAAGGCAACUCGUGCUCAGGGCACUGCUCUAGUGAGCCACGUCGAGCAUACAUGUGCCCACAUGAGGAUGUUCUACCUACUCAAGUGUAGCUUUGAGCAAUAUUGUAAACUUGUUCUAGAUCUGCUUUUGAUUUGCGCUAGAGAAAAAAAGGAGAGGCGGCGGUUGGAGGGAUUGUUGAUAGAGAGGGGAGAGGAGAGUGGUGGACGGGGGAUGGGAGGGGGCGACACUAAUGGGAAGGUGAUCGCUGAUCACCCCCCAUCUCCCCCUAACACGCUACUCUCCCCCUUCCUCCUCCCCUUCUUCUCUUCCUACAACACCAUAAAUUUUAAAAAAAAUAAAAAAACAAAGUUAGAAAAAAGUUUAUGUAUAGAAAUACUAUAUAUAAAAAUAGUUUGAAUUCAAAUUCAAAUUUGAAUCGGGUAUAUAAUUUUUUGACUUAUAAACUUUGGGUCUAUAAAUUUGAGGUGUAUAAACUUUAAUGUAUAGAAAAUACUAUAUAUAAAAAAUAUUUGAAUUCAAAUUCAAAUCUGAAUUGGGUAUAUAAACUUUUGACUUAUAAACUUGAGGUGUAUAAACUUUAGAUGUAUAGAAAAUACUAUAUAUAAAAAAUAUUUGAAUUCAAAUUCAAAUUUGAAUCGGAUAUAUAAACUUUUGACUUAUAAACUUUGGGUCUCUAAACUUUAGAUGUGUAAACUUGAGGUGUACAAAAUUAGAUGCAUAAAUUUACUAAAAUAGGAAAGUAAUGCGGUGCAAAAAAAGAAAACCACGUGGAGGAGGGCUGAUUGCUCGGGGCGAUCGAUCGCCCAUUAGGAAUCUCGGUAAAUUGGCGGCAUGUAAAAUAAGAUAAACCAUUAGUAUAUAAUUAAUCAAGUGUUAAUUAUUAUAAACUUUAAAAUAUAUUAAUAUGAUUUUUUUAAUAAACUUUCAUGUAUAAUUUUUUCCAUAGAACAUAUCCCUUUGCAUUUUGGGAAGUGUACUAAUGGAACAUGAUGAAGUUGUCGUUUGAAGUUGCUCAAACGAACUCACCUAGGCUCCUUGGAAAGUAGGUUAAAAAACUUAAUAAUAGAAGAAACACAUGAUUUUGAUUGGGAUGGACGUGUAAAAUAGAAAAUUGAAAAAAAAGAAUAACCAUUUAUUUAGACCACAGAAAAACACAUAAUUUGAUGAGAGGGAAAGACUCAAAGAAACUUUCUAUUGAAUUUCGGAGAUUACAUAAGAUUCAUUUCCAAUUACUUGUUUGGAAUGGAUAUUUAUGAAAAAUUCCUAUACGAAGGAAUUAAAGGAGGCCUUCUACUUAUACCCUAAUAAGCCAUGAAAAAUGAAGUGACAAAAAAUAAUUCAUGAGUAAAUAUUAUUAUUUUUUAUUUAACCGCCAAUGUUGAAAAUAUAUUACGGUAAAUAAAUUCUCAAAAUCAAUUCAAAAUUUAAGUUUUAAAAUUAAAAUUCUGUCUGUGCACAGUCUAAAAAUCUGAUUACGAGGCUUACUCUUCACAGUCUAAAAACCAAGGGCGAGUGACCAAAAUGAUGGAAAAUCAUCUAAAUUAAUUCUGAAAUUUAAAUUUGGCUGGCUUAACUCUUGCGUUUAACGUCUCGUGAGAAUAAUCUGAUUGCCACAAGCAUUAUGCCGAAGAUGUGUGACUGAUGCAAUGAGAAUUAUACCCCUAAAUUGGUUCUAGAUUAAGUUUAAUAUUUAAAAUUUACUGUGAGCAGUGCUAGUCAUUACUAAAUCUUAACUCACUUUGCUCCAUUUCUCGCAUCAAAUUGGUUGAUUAAAGUUGGAACUAAACGAACGAAACAAUUUUCUCGAUUGUUUGUAGGAGUAAGAUUUUUCUUGUAUACCACGUUUAUCUAAACCGGCAAAAGUUAAAUAAAGUUGAAAUGUAUUCCAAGAUAGCCGUCAAUGGGGUGAAAACAGUCACGGGAAUUUCCGAGUGUCUGAUGCUCGUUUUUUAUUUUUACCGAACAUAUCAAAAUGGUUACCAACAAGAAAAUGAAAAUGAAAAUGGAACGGUAAAAAAAAGGAAAUGGAAACAUAAACUAUUUCAUAGUUAUACUCAUCGUUUCUGAAUUUAUACCGUAUUCUUACUAAAAUUACCUUUUUACAUUAUGGAUUUAUGGUAUUUCUAAACCUAUCCAUUUCUUUAUUUGACCAUAGUUUAGAAGCCCUUCAACUAAUCAACCAAAUCCUAAGUUGAGUGCUUAGUUGAAAGCUAGGGAUACAAUUUGUAAUUUAUAUAGUACAACCUGAACUUAUUUCGUUAUAUAAUCAUAUAGUUAUGUAAAGCUAAAUGUUUGACUUUUACAUUUCAGGGCUCCUUGGAACACAGGAUUUCGAAAAUGCAGGAAUAGAAUAUCACACACUUCAUAUUCCCGCAUGGUUUCAAAAUAUAGGAAUUUUAGACUUUACUCAUCUGAAUGGCUUUGUAGGAAACAUGAUGGAAAUAAUUUUGUGGAAGAGAGAAACUAGAGAGAAAGGGAGAAGUUCGUAGGACUUCUCAAAGGAAAAUGAAAACAUGAUGUAGGAGGUCAUGUUUGUUUUCAUUUGGGAUAGGGGCAUAGAAAGCAAAUCCAUAUUUUCAAUCAUAUUCCUUUAUUCCAAAGGAGCAAAGGAGCUAAGAGAUUGUUCGGUUUACAUGAUUUCUAAGGGUGUGGCUAAUGGGCGGCCCUGUACACACCUCUCCUCCCUUCUUCCUCCUCUUCUUCUCUUCAUACUACACUAUAAACUUAAAAAAAACAAAAAAACAAAGUUGGAAAAAUUUAUGUAUAGAAAUACUAUAUAUAAAAAAUAUUUGAAUUCAAAUUCAAAUUUGAAAUGGGUAUGUAAACUUUUGACUUAUAAACUUUAGGUCUAUAAACUAAUAUUUAAAUUCAAAUUCAAAUUUGAAUCGGGUAUGUAAACUUUUGAUUUAUAAACUUUCGGUCUAUAAACUUUAGGUGUAUAAACUUUAGAUGUAUAGAAAUGCUAUAUAUAAAAAAUAUUUGAAUUCAAAUUCAAAUUUGAAUCGGGUAUAUAAACUUUUGACUUAUAAACUUUGGGUCUAUAAACUUUAAGUGUAUAAACUUUAGAUGUAUAUAAAUACUAUAUAUAAAAAAAUAUUUGAAUUCAAAUUCAAAUUUGAAUCGGAUAUAUAAACUUUUGACUUGUAAACUUUGGGUCUCUAAACUUUAGAUGUGUAAACUUGAGGUGUACAAACUUUACUUGAAUAAAUUUACUAAAAUAGAAAAAUAAUGCGGUGCCAAAAAAGAAAACCACGUGGAGGAGAGGGGGAGACCAGAUCCGAUCGCCCCUGGCGAUCAAUCGCCCAUCAGGAGUUUCGGAUUUCUAACCAUAGAAAUAGGAAAACGAAACAUACAAAUUGUAUAGGAAUGUAUGUGUAAAAUAGAGAAUAGAAAAGGUAUAGAAUUGAUCCUUUAAAUGGAUGAUAGAAAAAAAACAAAAUGCUUAGUAUUAAAUUAACAUGGCCAAGAUUUGAAUGCUUUAAUCUAUACAACUGGAGAGCAAAAACAUAGACCAAUGAGUGCUUUGCCUCAUCCUACGCUUGGAAAUAGAUAAAAGAGCUCUAAUAGCAAAUUCUUCAGGAAUCAUAGUCAAAGGAAAUUUUCCUAUCAUUUUCCUUUGCUCAAAUCGUACGAACCGAAUGGAUGAAUAGUGAUAGUUCCUACAAGAAUCAUGUUGCUACAUUUUCCCUUCUUAUUUCCUCCAAACUGAAUGAGGCUAAGGACCUAUUCGUUUUGAAGAAAAUUUAAAGGAUUUGGAUUCCUAAGGAUUAAAUUCUAUGAAUGCCAUUCGGUUUAAUAGGAAAAAAAAUCCUAAAGAUUGAAAUCCUUCAAACUUCCUUUGAAAUUCCUUCACUCCAAAUGAGCCUUAAUGUCUUUUUGAUAUUUAUGAUCGGUUUACGAUUGUUACCGAUAUAUUUCCGUGCAUAGUCCAUCUCCAAUUUUCGAUACUUUUUAUUUUCAACUUCACCAUUUUGAUUCUGGUUUUAAGAAAAUUAUGGUUAUGAAAAUAGUUGAGAUGUUUUUCGACCGUUUUCAUGCCUAGCUGCCAAAAUCGUCUAGCUACCAAAAUCGUUCGAACCGGAGGGAAGUACUUUCUCCAUCCUAAAAAGAAUUCAAUUCUAGAUAUAAAUCUGCAUACACUUUAGGACCGAGGGAGUACAGGUUUACAGUUAAAAAUACAUUUUUUAAAGGCGAUGGGAGUAUAUUAUAUCAGCAUUGCAGGAUGAAUCCUCCACCUCCAAAAGAAAACAGGAAGACACUAUCUGCUGAUAGUGAUGGCAGAUAUAUAUAUAUAGGAAGUAGGCUUACUCAAAUCGUCGUGGCCCCUUGAAGCGAGAUCACUUCUUGUCUUACGUGAUUGAUCUUCAAGGACAUGCAUACCCACACUUGACACAACACUUACAAUCACAGUGCAUACAGGGGAAUAAUUAUCUAAGCUUAUGAUCGAAGCUAGAACUGUAUUGGAGACCUCAUUGAACGCCAGCGAUAUCACAGCCGAUAAUAAUCGCAGUGCAAAUGUUUUUUUUUCCAGCUAACUUGCAAACACUCUCGUCGCGCGGGCUUGUUUACAAUUCGAAUUAUACUAAACCUUACUUUUAAACACUCUCGUAUGCUUUAAUUUAGUUCUUUUUGUUAUAUUCUAUUUUUCAGCCUUAGUUUUGAAACUGCUAACAAUAUACUGCACUAAGUAUAAACGUUUUUUUAUCUAUACAAUAGUUUUAAUGCCUCAUCCAUUUUUCUACGAAACCGUAAAUAGUGGUUGACAAAUAGUCAAGAGCGUUGUUACUACCUCUGCUCUUUAAUAUAAGAAAUUCUACUCAUGUUUCCUUGUCCCCAUAAUAUAAUUAGGUUUCCUUUGAAGCAAAGGAAUUAUAGAGGAGUUCCUUAGAGGAAUUUUCUAGGAUUUAAAUUAUAUAGGAAUUUUUCAUAUUUGAUCUUUUGAAACAAAGGAUUGCAGUUCUUCAAAUCCUAUGAAAUUAUUAAGAGCAAGUUUAAUAGUAUAGCCCACUACUAGCUCCAAAUCAUCUAUAGCCAAUGUAAUAACUAAUUCAUAUAAUAGUUGCUUACUAUACUAUUAAUACUUGGUCCCACAUGUCAUACACACAUUACAUCUUGGAGUCCGUGCUGCAGCUGGCUACAGACCUGUAGCCCGCUGCUCUUCUCUCUCUUCCUUUAUCUCUUUAAAAUAUGUUUAUAGCUGGCUUAUAGCCUGCUAUUGUACCUGCUUUAAGGAUUGACUCAUGCAUAUAGAUUUUGGAGAAAAGUUAGCACCAACCUUUUUGAAAAUUUUCUAUGGGUCUAUCUCUCUCAUUCAAUCCCUGCAUUUUUUCUAUGGUCUAUUCAAAUAAUCAUUCGUGUGUUUCGCACUUAUAUUCUGGUGAAAAUCCUAUAAUUUUUAUUCCUCUCUUUUCUUAAUCGUACGAUACAAAGGUUCCCUAAGGCCCCGUUCGACGUAAUGGCGGAUAAAGAUUAAGUACAAGCAAGUAAAAUGAGAAACCAUUAGCACAUGAUUAAUUAAGUUCUAUAAAAAUAAUUAUUAUAAACUUGAAAAUAAAUUUAUUUGAUAUUUUAGAGAAAAUCUAUAUAAAAUUUUUUUUCACAAAAUGUACCGUUUAGCGGUUUGAAAAGAGUGCUAACAAAACCAAGCUAGAAUCUACUCCUUCCAUUCACAAAUGAUAAUCAUAUAAUUUUUUCAAUGUUAUUCAGAAAUGAUUGGCAUAUUCGGUACUUCCUAUGUGUGACUUUUUCGUUUUUCUGUGCACUACUAAAUUAUCAUUUGUAUGCAUUGUUCAAUAUUGUACUAUUCAACCAAAUGCAAUUUUGGUGCAUGCAAGCAAUACUGUUGGUGUAAAUUGCCCUUGAUGCAUGUGCGAGAGACAACAAUCGGUGUUGUAUGUUAAUUGAUGUCAAUUUAAGAGACAUGUGGGGGUGUAUUGGUAAGAAAAGCUAAGAGCAAGUUUAAUAGUAUAGCCAAUUACUAGCUUCAAAUCAUUUAUAGUCAAUUUAGUAGCAAAUUCGUACAAUAGUUAUCUAUAAAUAUAUAUUAAACUAUUAAUAUCUGGUCCCACCUGUCAUACUAACGUUGCGUCUUGGAGUUUGUGUUGUAGCUGGCUACAAAUCUAUAGCCCACUGCUUAUCUCUAUCUUCUUUUAUCUUCUCGAUAUGUGUUUAUAGCUGGCUUAUAGUCUAUUAUUGUACCUGCUCUAAUAACUUUCUCGUAGUAUAUUUACUCCCACAACAAACCUGAUGCAUGCACCAUCCCCACCAUUUUCUAGCAAAUAGUAAAUCAAGGUAUUGCAUGUUGGUUAUAAAUACUUGUGUGCAUGAAUACAUGCAUCAAUGUCCAUUUAAUGCACAAAUAACGAAUAGACUUAGGGCCUGUUUAGAUCAAUUUGUUGUGGCAAUUUUUUUUGGCAAAAGUUUUGGUGGCAAAAGAUUUGGCAUUGAAGUUUUGUUAGUUGGUGUUUAGAUACAUGGUAAAGUUUUGCCAUUUUACUAGUAAAGAUAGAGAGAGCACGGCUCCCAACGUACUUUUUGGCAAAAUUUGCUACUCUAGACUCCUAAAUGAUAAAUGCUAAAUUGCCAACUUUUGCUACUAGGUUUUGAUCCAUUUUGGCAAAAAGUGCUCAAAAACAGCAAAACUUUUGCUCUUUUGGAGGAACUAAACAGAGCCUUAAUGAAUGACCAUAAAAUAAAUAUGAUGAUUAUUUAGAAAUAACCUCAAAAAUGUUAUAAGAUGAUCAUUUUGAAAGAGAGGGAGUCUCCCGGUCUCCUUCGCGCAAGUGAAAAUAAAAACUUUGGAUGGAAAUGGUUUAAAUAUGACAUGGUGAAAUGUAAGGACAUAUUAAUGGUUGAAAUAUAUAUAAAAAUAUGUACUACGUUCGAGUAUUUUGUAGUGCACUCUAAAAUAUUUGCGACUGUUGGCUUCUUUCUCAUUCUCUUCCGGAGCAGCGCUCACUUGCUUGUUCAUUAAUGCGCAAUCUUUCCGUAGGUGGAACAAGUCAACUGAAAAUAACUGCUAGUACAACGUGAGUAGUACAUCUUACCUGUGAAUGCUCCAGGCUUUACUCGGGCUGUGCGCGCUAGCGGAUGUUCCCAACCGGAACAGAGUGCAAAAAAACAGAGCGGUCUAUUAGCACGUGAUUAAUUAAGUGUUAGCUAAUUUCUUUUAAAAAAUAAAUUAAUUUGAUUUUUUAAGCAACUUUUGUAUAGAAACAUACAAAAGUUUUUGAAAAAAACGCACCGUUUAAUAGUUUGAAAAGCGUGCGUGUGAAAAACGAGAGAGAUGUGUUGGGAAAAGGGGAUGCCGAACAAACCCUCAAAAACGAUAUUUGAUUAUACUUUUACUAUAAUAUAUAUACUUGAUAUUUAAUUUGUUACUAUUUAGUAUAAUAUAGUUAAUAUUUAAUUUGUUACGAUAAUUUUUCUAAAACACAGUUCAAACACAUAUACACACUUUUUAUUUCCAAUAGCACUUCUGAAUUGGGUUGUGUAUAUUCAUUGUGGAUAUAGAGACUGGAUUUUAAUCCAUUUUCUUAAAAAAAAGCACUUCUAAAAGACGAGUUGGCAUAUUUUAAAAUUAACGAAGUCAUUUUGGACACAUCGUUGUCGAUAAUUGUCAGUUAUCAUUGAAAUAAUAAUUAGUCACAAAUACGAGCCUCAUUUCAAGUCGGAACACACCCAUAAAUACAUGAAGCAGCUCCUUUGAAGCGAGGUUAGAGAAAGUAACGUGAAUCCUUGACAGGUGGGGUCCACUCCUAUGGAUCCACAAGUAAGAGAGGCACAUCCAUCUAAGAGCAAGUUUAAUAGUAUAGCCAAUUAUUAGCUCAAAAUUAUCUAUAAUCAAUUUAAUAGCCAAUUCAUAUAAUAGUUACCUAUAAACAUGUACUACAAAAUUAAUGUAUGGUCGCACCUGUCAUACACACAUGUAUCUUGCAGUCUGUGCUGAAGCUGGCUACAAAUAUGUAGCUCGUUGCUCUUAUCUCCCAUCUUUUAUCUGCUUAAAAUAUGCUGUUGACCUGUUGUACAUGCUCUAACGUACUUUAGAGGAGCCCCAUCGCGGAAGUACAGGUUCCCAACUUUUACUCUCACAUUUUUUACGUGCAUACUUCCCAAGUUGUUAAAUUGUGUGUUUUAUACCAAAAUUUUCCAUAGAAAAAAUGCUUUAAAAUUUAUAUUAAUCUUUUUUGUGUUUUUAUAGCAAAUACUUAAUUAAUCAUGUACUAACCGAAAAUUUCCUCUGAGUUUCAUCGCUCUUAAAUUUCUGUGUUUUUACUGCGAUAUAAUCAAAUGGGCAUUUCUAUUCCUUUAUUUUCUCAAUCUCAAGUUUUUAAGGAGCAUGUGACAUGAUUGGUGAGAUCCUAUAAAAUGGUAGUAUUAUUUAUGCACCUGGAUUCUAAAAGGAAAAUAAUUAAAACAUAGGAGUUUCCCCUUUGAGAAGUCUAAUCCACUCUUUCAUCCCCUCUCUACUUCCUUUGUUUUCCUCGAGUAACUUCCAGUCAUGUGCUUUGAUUUGCUUGGAAUCGUCCAAAGACAUUACCUCAAUUUUUCUUAUGUUUUAAAAUCCUGUGUAUUCUAAAGAGAAUGAUGUUCGUUUAGGGCUAUUGAAAAAAAGAGGAAAAAUAUAGGAUUUUAACCGCUACUACAAGAGCAAAACAAUGAGUUUCAAAACCUGACAAAUCACAUAGAAAUGAUAGUUUGAUUAGACUGUAGAAAAAAAAACAUAGAAAUAAAAUGAGAUAGACUUGAAGAAAUUUUCUAAGAGAAUGGUUAGGCUCACUUUUCAAUAAAUUCUUUAAAAAUGCGCAUUCCAAAGGGAACAACAUGUUUCAGUCAUUUAUUUUGAAGACCUUAAUAGGAAUUUUUCUAAUAAAAUUAAAAUCCUCCGAUUUUUCUAUAAAUCGAAGAAGACCUUCCUUUAAAAAAACCUUAAUAUAUGCUUUUUAGUACGAGUACUCCCUCCAUACUCGUAUUAGAAGUCGUUUAGAACAAUGUUUAAGUCAAACCUUAGAAAUAUAUAUCAUGAAUAACUCUCGAGUUCUUGAAUUUGAAAAUGUAAAAAUUAUAUUAAUAUACAUAUAUCAUUUUUCAAUAAAUAUUUUUAUAGAAACCAAAAGUCAAAAUUAUGUUUUGGAGACCACGUCGCUGUGCAAAACGAUUUUAUGAGUACAGAGGGAAUAUUCCUGUAUUUCCUUUUACAAUUAUGGAGUACGUUUCGAAACAAGUGGGCCAUCUCAAACGAAACUGGUCGUAUGUGCACAUCACCCCAAAACCCUCAGAAAAUUUGCGCACCGCCCACUCCACCAGUCCACUCCCGGCCCAAGAAAGCCAUGCUCAGGCCAGUGUGCUCAAGAAAGGGGCGCGCAGCGAGCUCGCGACUACUCACUCUCAAUCCUUUGGGAAAUGGAGCUGCUCAGUGGCUCAGUGGCCGCAGCUCCGGGAAGCGGAGGCUACCGAGAGCAACCGGACCACGCCAAGAAGCACUAGCUAGUGUACUGCCUCCUCGAUCUUGCUCUAUCUACCACUAGCAUCGAGCUUGCUUCGCUAGCUCCUGUAUAUUUAAGGCCGUAAUAAGUGUAAACACAGCACCAAUAGUCCAACACAGAUACUAGUAGUAGUGUGGUAAAAGGGUGAACUGAAGACCAAGAGGCAAAGGCGCCUGUGAGGCUGUGACUGAGAAGGUAGGAGUAGGAGAAGAGAAGCUUUGGGCGCCGCCAUGGAUGCAUACGAGGCGACCAAGGUGGUGUUCUCCCGGAUCCAGGCGCUGGACCCUGACCACGCCGCCAAGAUCAUGGGCCUCCUGCUCAUCCAGGACCACGGCGACAAGGAGAUGAUACGCCUCGCCUUCGGCCCCGAGGCGCUGCUCCACAGCGUCAUGGCGCAGGCGCGCAAGGAGCUCGCCCUCCUGCCGCCGCCUCAGGCGGCGUCGUCGUCGCCCACCGUGCCGGCAGCCCACUCGCCGUUCCUGCUGUCGAGGCAGAACUCCGGCCGCUGCCCCGCGCCGUCGCCGUCGUCGUGGGCGCAGGCGCAGCCGUUCUCGAGGAGUAACAGCAUGGGCAAUGGCGGCGCCGCGGAUGAGAUGGUCGGCGCUGGGGAGGAGCUAAUGAGCCCCUUGAACGGCGGGGGAGGCGCCGCGGCGAACGCCCCGCCCUUCUUUCCUCGGGGUGGGGACGCGCUCCUGGACGACUUCGAGCUGCAGGAGCAGCUCGCGUUCCUGCACGACGGAGCCGGGGGCGUGAACCCCGGGCAUGCUCUCCAGGCGUUCGACGGAGCGGAGUGCCGGAGCCCCGGCCCCGGCGAGAGCGGCGGGAUGCUCCCCUACGGCCUCGCCUGGGCCAACGGCGGCCCUGGGCACCGCCGCAGCGCGUCGGUGAACGAGCUCUGCCUCGGCGGCGACGGCUUCGGGUGGAAACCUUGCCUGUACUACGCGCGCGGGUUCUGCAAGAACGGCAGCACCUGCAGGUUCGUCCAUGGCGGCCUCUCCGACGACGCCGCCAUGGACGCAACCACCGCCGAACAGCAGCAGUGCCAGGAUUUCCUCCUCCGCUCCAAGAGCCAGCGCCUCGGCCCCGCCGCCUUCCCGUUCACCCCCACAGGCUCUCUCCCUGCCUCGCCAUCCGCCACCAGCAAGUGCCUCAGCCUCCUCCUGCAGCAGCAGCAGCAGCACAACGACAACCAAAGGUACUACCGCCUUCGCAACCUCCAUGCGUUCUCCAAGCCAGAAGGCAUUUCAAAGUUCCAAAACGUUUCUUGCUUGCGCGUGUGAAGAGCCGCCGCGGCCGCGCUGAUGCUCGCCGGCGGCGACGAGGCGCACAAGUUCAUGGGGCGGCCGCGCCUGGACCGCGUCGAUUUCGCCAGCAUGAUGAACCCCGGGUCGCGCCAGAUUUACCUCACCUUCCCGGCCGACAGCACGUUCCGCGAGGAGGACGUCUCCAACUACUUCAGGUAUAUAAUGCGAUGUUGCAAUGAUGCUUCUUCCUUCUUUCAUGGCGGGCUCGGUAGGACGCGAUCUGAUUGGCAUUUUUGCAUUGCUGUUCUUGGCAACGCGCCGCGCUGC